CCUACGGGAGACAGCAGUGGGGAAUAUUGCACACUGGGGGAAACCCUGAUGCAGCGACGCCGCGUGAGUGAAGAAGUAAUUCGGUAUGUAAAGCCCUAUCAGCAGGGAAGAAAAUAACGGUACCUGAGUAAGAAGCCGCGGCUAACUACGUGCCAGCUGCCGCGGUAAAACGUAGGGGGCAAGCGUUAUCCGGAUUUACUGGGUGUAAAGGGAGCGUAGUGGGCAGUGCAAGUCUGGAGUGAAAGGCGGGGGCUCCAACCCCGGACUGCUCUGGAAACUGUACGGCUGGAGUGCAGGAGAGGGAAGUGGAAUGCCUAGUGUAGCGGUGAAAUGCGUAGAUAUUAGGAAGAACCCCAGUGGCGAAGGCGGCUUACUGGACUGUAACUGACGUUGAGGCUCGAAAGCGUGGGGAGCAAACAGGAUUAGAUACCCCUGUAGUC
RNAcentral lists this ribosomal RNA (440 nucleotides) under uncultured bacterium. Its description in RNAcentral is "partial 16S ribosomal RNA". It matches the Rfam family "Bacterial small subunit ribosomal RNA", at positions 338 to 795 of the family's 1533-position model. The record is from RNAcentral.